Molecule: ribosomal RNA, 1408 nt
Filed under: metagenome
Description: bacterial SSU rRNA
Rfam family: Bacterial small subunit ribosomal RNA
Source: RNAcentral
AGAGUUUGAUCCUGGCUCAGGAUGAACGCUGGCGGCGUGCUUAACACAUGCAAGUCGAACGAUCCUUCGGGAUAGUGGCGGACGGGUGAGUAACGCGUGGGAAUCUGCCCUCAGGAGGGGGAUAACGGCUGGAAACGGCCGCUAAUACCCCAUAUGCCGAGAGGUGAAAUGAAUUUCGCCUGAGGAUGAGCCCGCGUCUGAUUAGCUAGUUGGUGGGGUAAUGGCCUACCAAGGCAACGAUCAGUAGCUGGUCUGAGAGGAUGAUCAGCCACACUGGGACUGAGACACGGCCCAGACUCCUACGGGAGGCAGCAGUGGGGAAUUUUCCGCAAUGGGCGAAAGCCUGACGGAGCAACGCCGCGUGAGGGAUGAAGGCCUCUGGGCUGUAAACCUCUUUUCUCAAGGAAGAAGAUCUGACGGUACUUGAGGAAUAAGCCACGGCUAAUUCCGUGCCAGCAGCCGCGGUAAUACGGGAGUGGCAAGCGUUAUCCGGAAUUAUUGGGCAUAAAGCGUCCGCAGGCGGCCUUGUAAGUCUGUUGUUAAAGCGUGGAGCUCAACUCCAUUUAAGCAAUGGAAACUACAAGGCUGGAGUGUGGUAGGGGCAGAGGGAAUUCCCGGUGUAGCGGUGAAAUGCGUAGAUAUCGGGAAGAACACCAGUGGCGAAGGCGCUCUGCUGGGCCAUAACUGACGCUCAUGGACGAAAGCCAGGGGAGCGAAAGGGAUUAGAUACCCCUGUAGUCCUGGCCGUAAACGAUGAACACUAGGUGUCGGGGGAAUCGACCCCCUCGGUGUCGUAGCCAACGCGUUAAGUGUUCCGCCUGGGGAGUACGCACGCAAGUGUGAAACACAAAGGAAUUGACGGGGGCCCGCACAAGCGGUGGAGUAUGUGGUUUAAUUCGAUGCAACGCGAAGAACCUUACCAGGGUUUGACAUCCUGCGAACCCCUGAGAAAUCGGGGGGUGCCUUCGGGAGCGCAGAGACAGGUGGUGCAUGGCUGUCGUCAGCUCGUGUCGUGAGAUGUUGGGUUAAGUCCCGCAACGAGCGCAACCCACGUCUUUAGUUGCCAGCAUUCAGUUGGGCACUCUAGAGAGACCGCCGGUGAUAAACCGGAGGAAGGUGUGGAUGACGUCAAGUCAUCAUGCCCCUUACAUCCUGGGCUACACACGUACUACAAUGCUACGGACAAAGGGCAGCAAGCUCGCGAGAGUUAGCAAAUCCCAUAAACCGUGGCUCAGUUCAGAUCGUAGGCUGCAACUCGCCUACGUGAAGGAGGAAUCGCUAGUAAUCGCAGGUCAGCAUACUGCGGUGAAUACGUUCCCGGGCCUUGUACACACCGCCCGUCACACCAUGGAAGUUGGCCAUGCCCGAAGUCGUUACUCCAACCCUUGUGGAGGAGGACGCCGAAGGU